Molecule: ribosomal RNA, 459 nt
Filed under: Staphylococcus warneri
Lineage: Bacteria; Bacillati; Bacillota; Bacilli; Caryophanales; Staphylococcaceae
Description: bacterial SSU rRNA
Rfam family: Bacterial small subunit ribosomal RNA
Source: RNAcentral
AGCGACAGAUAGGAGCUUGCUCCUUUGACGUUAGCGGCGGACGGGUGAGUAACACGUGGAUAACCUACCUAUAAGACUGGGAUAACUUCGGGAAACCGGAGCUAAUACCGGAUAACAUAUUGAACCGCAUGGUUCAAUAGUGAAAGGCGGCUUUGCUGUCACUUAUAGAUGGAUCCGCGCCGUAUUAGCUAGUUGGUAAGGUAACGGCUUACCAAGGCAACGAUACGUAGCCGACCUGAGAGGGUGAUCGGCCACACUGGAACUGAGACACGGUCCAGACUCCUACGGGAGGCAGCAGUAGGGAAUCUUCCGCAAUGGGCGAAAGCCUGACGGAGCAACGCCGCGUGAGUGAUGAAGGUCUUCGGAUCGUAAAACUCUGUUAUCAGGGAAGAACAAAUGUGUAAGUAACUGUGCACAUCUUGACGGUACCUGAUCAGAAAGCCACGGCUAACUACGUGC